UGCCGCAUGCAAACAUGCACGCAGCGUUGCACGUCCUUCGCGGAGGAGCAGCACUGCUGCUGCUGCUGCUGCUGCUGCAAUUCCUCUGCACCCUAACUCCUUCAGCUAUGCAACCGUCUCAACCGCCUCAACAACGAUGUCUGCACCUCAUGCAGAAAGGUCCUUCCAGACGUCGGCAACCGCAGUUUUGUGGUCUUUUACAGCAACCCAAAAUUUUUUUUAACGGCACCAAAUUUGGUCGUGUCAAAGACGUCAUUGAAUCAAACGGCCCUACGGGCCGCAUAUGAGGCCUUUACUGCCUUUGGAUAACGUAUGUGUCUGUGCGAUGUACCAGUUUUACCGCUGGCUGCGAGGUUUGGGAGCUUUUUUACGGUCUUGGGAACAUUGGUACGAUCCGAGGGUGCGCCUAAGAGCUGCCGAUGUCUGGUUCCUUCCAUAACCCUCUGCAGCCAGCCUCCGUGCACCUGAUGCUAAGGCGUAUGACUGCCUUUGAGAGCCCACGCGAACCCCAUCUGGAACGCUGUCGCCCUGCAUAUGCAGCAGAUCAAGGGGUCCAGCGGUGCCGUCAUGACAGGAAUACUUUUGCAUGCGGACUCUUAACGUCGAUAAUCCAUGCUGCGGUUUAAUCACUUGGACCCAUACAUACACAUUUCAUGUACCUUGCUGUCCAAUAAGUGAGGAAAGACGCGCACCUUGCUUUGCCUGUGUCGUGCUAGGGGGAUGGAUGCCAUCAGUGUAUUUUUUUUCGUGGAGGCCGAUCCUGAAUCUGUUACGAGUUCCGUAAUAAAUAUGCCAUCCGUCCAAUACGUUUAUUACUGCCAGAAUUUUUUUCCUGGGGGGGCAAGC
This 846-nucleotide long non-coding RNA is filed under the name Volvox carteri. RNAcentral describes it as "long non-coding RNA (VCAR_LNC003112)". Lineage: Eukaryota; Viridiplantae; Chlorophyta; Chlorophyceae; Chlamydomonadales; Volvocaceae. The record is from RNAcentral.